UGGCACUCUUGCCCACUGCAAUCAAACAAAGUGACACUUGAGUUUAACAGUUUCAAAAUGUAUACUAUGAAAGUGCACAGAUCAACAACCACCUUCAGUAUCCAUAGCUCUUCUUUGGAUCAAGCAGUACACCAUAUUUGAGCUUUGCUUGUGAAAAGUAUAAAGGGUCAAAAGCAGCGUGAGCUGAUCCCAGUCAAGAGGUUCUCCAUUCACAAUAACAUCUUCUGCUGGCAUGGACCCCAUUACUCUAAGCACACAGUUGCGACAAAACUUUGCACUGCAAACAAUGCAAACCUCCCUCUCAGUUAGACGACUCCCUUUAAGACAUCGAUAGCACGAACCCUUCUUCCCAACUCUCUCGGCAUGCGGCCUCACACGUUUACUAUUGUUGCUACUACUUUCUCCACCUGCAGGUUCAACAAUCUCUUCAUCCUCCACUAUCUCAUUUGUCUCAGGAUUACGAAAAGUCACCACGGAGGGCCGUUUAACAUGUUUUGGGUUUAAAGGGUCGUCGUCAUCAUCAUCAUGAUCCUCUUGUUCGCGAGACAGUGGAUCAGAAGAAACAGAAGCAGUUUUUGAAGCCAAUUCUGCAUUGGUUUUUCUAAAGGGUUGGAUAACUGGGAGGGACAAGUUGUGAGGAGGAGAAUGAGCAACAGGCGCAAACGGGACUUGGUCAAGGUUGAAAGGAAGAACUUCUGGGACGGAGUAGCCAAGAGGAGGGCCUUUGUAUUCCUCAGCAAAAGAGUACUCAUAGCUGAAAUCACCACCAGCAUCAUGAACUGAAGGCACACCGGGACGUAGAUUUUUCAGAAGCGAAGCCAUGUACGGUAAUAUAUCAUUCCAGAGUAAAACUUUCAAAAACCAACUGAAACAAACCUUUUCACUCUGAUCAAAUCAACACAACUUGAUGCUGCUUAUGCUGUUCCUCCACCGCCACUCAUUUUCUGUGACGUAAUAUCUGAAUUAGGAAACAGCUAAGUGAGUGGCAAUUGGUAGAGAGUAUAUGAAGAAGACUUGCGAGGGAAAGAGUGGCAAAUGUUUUGGUUUAUCGAACAACGUAUUCAAAACGUUGGAAUGGAAAUUGCUGAGAAAAGAAAUGGACAACAACGACGGCGUGGAACUUUUCAAACUACACCAACAGCUAUGGUUCGUGUGUUUAAUCCUUAAGUAUCUGUUGUCAUGUCACCUUUGAAUAAUUGAAAAGCAUUUUUAUGUAUAUUAAUAACUUCCUUUGAAUGAAAAUGUAAUUUGCUAAAAGAAAGGAACAAGUCAAUGGAAAUUGACACAUGCCCAGUUAUAUAUUUUAAAAGCAUAGUCAACAACACCUCCAAAAAAUAUAUAUAUCUAUGAGUGGCUAGUAUGAUUAAAUAUACUUAAUUAUAACGCGUUCUGGUUUUCCAUUUCUCUAGAAGGACCGAGUUUUACAGAAUUCAGGUAGAACAUUCCUCUCAGAAUAGAUAAUAAUAAACUUUCUUUUUUGUCUAUUUUUUUGACUAACCUUAUCUAAACUUGGUUUAAUAGAAAGUGGUAAACUUGGUAUGAGGUUAUACCGAUGAUUAGCAUAGUCUCCACAUGCCUUUACACGAUGAGUGUAUAUAUUUUAUUUACUCGAGGUUAUUGGUAGCGAAUAGUAACAAAAUUUGAUUGAUGAUUCAUCAUCAAACAUAUACUUCAAAACGAUUUGGUGUCAAAUUAAGAGAAGAAAAGAAAAACCAAACAGGUGAUUUUAUUAGAAAUAUGAAGGAGCAGUAUAUAUAUAUAUAUAUAUAUAUAUAUAUAUAUAUAUAUAUAUAUAUAUAUAUAUAUAUAUAUAUAUACAUAACACACAUGAUUCUAACUUUGAAAGGAAGAAAUAAAGUGAGUUAAGCAUUUAUUGCUUUCUUCAAGGGCUAAAACAUUGAACAAGCAUGGAAAGUGAAGCCUCCGAAAAGAGCAACCUUGGCUUGUUAACUUGCAUGGGUUUGGCAGCAAGUUCAGCCAACCCAGAUGAGUUCUGAACCAUUUUCUGGAGGGAUUGAGCAGAUUCGUGUUGAAUGGAAGCAGCAUCUUUUUCCCUUAGCUUGGACUGUUCGCUUGUCCAUAUAUCCACCAGUGCAGACAUGACUUGAAAUCUACCGAAUUAGCAGCAAAAACUGAAAAUCAAUAAUCAGAGAGCUGGUAUGAAAAAUAAGUGACUGAAAUUGAGAUGACAGCAAAAACAAGAAAGAGACUUCUGGUAAUGUUUAGUUUGAUGUGAGAAGUAUGUUUGAAUAUAUAUAUAUAUAUAAGGUGAGUGAGGUCAUUGGGGUGUUAAGAUUGAGAUAAAGUGAAGCGUUAUUUGGAAACUGUGUUCUUUUUGUGAGUUUGAAACUGAAACGUAAAACAGGAACUAGAAUCUUAGAUUUCAUGUUAUUAUAUACGCAUGAAAAUCUGAUGGCGUGAAACCGUGUUGCAGCAUGAAAGAUAAACAACAUGCGUGGCACUUGUGGAAGUGCCACUUGCCUCAGAGCAGGGUACGAGAUUCUUCUUUUGGAUCUGUGUGCGAUUGCUAAUUUAAACAAUUGGGAAAAAGAUCCUCUCCGGUUAAAAAAGAAAAACUGGAUCAAAUAUCUAAUAUUUUGGUGUAGUUUUACGUGAUAGAGGUUUUUGAAUUGAGUUAUUGAAUGUUUAAAAUAAUAUUUUGAUUUUUAUUUCAACAGUAAAAUACUAAAAAAUAGAAAAAUAUUAAAUAUUUAGAAAAUAUUUUUCAAUAAGAGUUCAAUUAAAAUUAUUCUAAUUUAUGAAAUACUUAAAAUUUAAUUAAAGUAUUUUUAUUUGUUUAUUUUUGGUUUAAUACAUCAUUUGGUCCCUACUUUUGGGGGUUUUGUUCAAAAUUGUCCCAUCUUUUGAAAAAGUUUAGUAAGGUCCCAUAUUUUGAUUUAAAAUGUUCAAUUUGGUCCUUUUCGUGGACGGCGUUAGAAACUUAACGAUAGUAGUGCCACUGUGGCGAAAUUUGAGUGAGCUGUUAUGUUUUGAUGGUUACGUGGCACUAUAAAUUGGGGAAAUAUCCUAAAUUGGGGACCCUAAAGUGGAAAUUAGAAUCAGAAGCCCUAAAUUGGGGAAAAAUCCCCAAUCUUCUCCUGCUUCUUCAUUUCUACUCCCUGCAACCUCAUCCAGACUAGACAUACCUUCUUCACAUUCCGAAUCAGCACUACAGCAACUACGGUGAACACUCUUCUUCUACUUCUUUUUCUCCUUUGCUAGACGAUUGAUUUCAGCUUUUGCUUGGUUCAGCAGCCACUCCAUGGUAUUGCUAGCUUUGUCAAAGCCCAACAUAUCUUGCAAACCAAAAAACCUCCUUGCAACAUUAAGAGAAAGUCUCAUUCUCCUAUCCCUUAGUCCCUUGCGGUGCUGUUGGAGGGAAAUAUGAGCAAGACUAACCGGUUGAGGGUCGGGGUUUUGAUAUUGGGGAUUUUUCCUUAAUUUAGGGUUUCUGAUUCUAAUUUAGGGUUUAGGGUUAUUAAAACUUUAGGGUUUUCCCCAAUUUAGGAUAUUUCCCCAAUUUACAGUGCCACGUAACCAUCAAAACAUGACAGCUCACUCAAAUUUCGCCACAGUAGCACCACCACUGUUAAGUUUCUAACGCCGUCCACGAAAAGGACCGAAUUGAACAUUUUAAACCAAAAUAUGGGACUUUACUGAACUUUUUCAAAAGGUGGGAUCAUUUUGAACAAAACCCCCAAAAGUAAGGACCAAAUGAUGUAUUAAACCUUUAUUUUUUUAAUAGGUAAGAAAUAGAAGGCAUAACGCAUCAGCGUAUUCCUGGAGCCUUUGUUUUUAAGCGAGAUAGAUGAUGAAAUUGAAAAGAAAGGACUUUCUUUUCCAAUUAAACCCAGGAGAAUCGUCCGGUCAACUUCUUGUAAGAGGCAAAUGAAGGCUUAGAGAAAAGAGGAAAGUGAUAGAAUAUUGGGAUGCAUACGAAGGCAACUUUAGGUACAUGUAUGGGAGUGGAUAAAAAAGAAUAAAAGAGCGGAAAUAUGACAAAUGGAAUUGAAAGUUACAAAUUUCGUCAUAAGCUCCAAUCUCCAAGUAAAAACCGCAUAAGCUGGUCUUCGUUGCUUCAAACCGAUGUGCGCUAGCCAAUGAGAAACCAAACACGCUGCAAUUACAUGAGAGAUUAGCAAUGCGCAAUUGAUUACUUGACCUAUCAACUGAUAAAUGAUUACACGGAUACGUGUAAUACAUCCUGGACGUGAAUUUAGCAAUAGUAUGAUGCUCCAGCCAGAAACAAAACAUUCUUUCAGCCUUCAAGAGCUGAGGAUCCAAAACGUGCUCCUCAAUCAGUAUGGCUAUGCAAGUUGCAGGAGCUAAAAGCUACACUACACUGUUUAAACCAGGAGGGAAGGAAGGCAUGGUAAUCCUUGUUCAUCUCCCACGAGACCAGCUGUGAGCCUGGGACUUCACUGUGGGAUGGUAGAUGAAAGUCCACAUGUAAGGUGAAAAAUAGUAACUCUGCCUCGACAAAAGCUGAAAUCAAGAGGACGGCAGAAGCUACACAGUUUGGCCCUGGAUAGAUCAGUGAUUGUGAUCAGCGAAAUACUUCAACAAAUGGCUUGAUUAAUGGGACCUGCAAAAACUUUGUUCUGGUGGCUUCCUGCAUCACCAGGAAAAAAUAGCUGGCCUAAGGACCUAUUCCUCAGCGUGGUCAACGGAACGAGGCUUGAGGCCGAUUCUUGCAUAAUAUUGGGAAUGAGACUUAAGAUGCUCCAGUCUGAGGAACCUCUUGAAACCUCAGAUCCAUGGUGUCCAACCUUCGUACAUGUUGCAUAGAUUAUCUACACUAGUGGCUUGCUUUAGUAGAUAAUCUACUUGCUCUGCAAUAUCAAUUUCUCUGCAAUCCAAAGAAGGCCCAACAUUAAUAAAACAAUUCAGUAGAAGAUUUUGUGAUUGCGAAAAUAUCCUACCUACCUGCUUUCAGAGAUAUCUCGACCAUCAAUUUUCAUCUCAACCCGCCUCAAUACUGACAAGGCAUAACCAUUUUUACCUAGCAUAAAGUUCAAAUAUCCACAGAUGAAGAAGAGCAUGUCAAUUCCUUUACAUGCAAUCACAUAAGAAAUUAUGAUGUCUGAACGACAUAGUAAUAAUGAGGUACUAGUAGGCGUAGAAGAUUACUUGGUGGUUUUAUUACUGUUUCUUAUUUUUUAUUUUUCAAAAAAUACAGUUCAUGAAUAUCAUUGGAUAUCAAAA
Molecule: long non-coding RNA, 5205 nt
Organism: Vigna angularis (adzuki bean)
Lineage: Eukaryota; Viridiplantae; Streptophyta; Magnoliopsida; Fabales; Fabaceae
Exons: 6
Source: RefSeq, a predicted model, not a curated record